RNAcentral lists this transfer RNA (76 nucleotides) under Nitrososphaerota archaeon. RNAcentral's name for it is "tRNA-Val". It matches the Rfam family "tRNA". Rfam says of the family: Transfer RNA (tRNA) molecules are approximately 80 nucleotides in length. Their secondary structure includes four short double-helical elements and three loops (D, anti-codon, and T loops). The record is from RNAcentral. Lineage: Archaea; Thermoproteati; Nitrososphaerota.
GGGCCGGUCGUCUAGUCUGGUCUAGGAUGACUGCCUUACACGCAGUAGGUCAAAGGUUCGAAUCCUUUCCGGCCCA